RNAcentral lists this ribosomal RNA (577 nucleotides) under uncultured bacterium. RNAcentral describes it as "partial 16S ribosomal RNA". It matches the Rfam family "Bacterial small subunit ribosomal RNA", at positions 355 to 920 of the family's 1533-position model. The record is from RNAcentral.
UGGGGAAUAUUGCACAAUGGGCGCAAGCCUGAUGCAGCCAUGCCGCGUGUGUGAAGAAGGCCUUCGGGUUGUAAAGCACUUUCAGCGAGGAGGAAGGUGGUGAACUUAAUACGUUCAUCAAUUGACGUUACUCGCAGAAGAAGCACCGGCUAACUCCGUGCCAGCAGCCGCGGUAAUACGGAGGGUGCAAGCGUUAAUCGGAAUUACUGGGCGUAAAGCGCACGCAGGCGGUUUGUUAAGUCAGAUGUGAAAUCCCCGGGCUCAACCUGGGAACUGCAUUUGAGACUGGCAAGCUAGAGUCUCGUAGAGGGGGGUAGAAUUCCAGGUGUAGCGGUGAAAUGCGUAGAGAUCUGGAGGAAUACCGGUGGCGAAGGCGGCCCCCUGGACGAAGACUGACGCUCAGGUGCGAAAGCGUGGGGCAGCAAACAGGAUUAGAUACCCUGGUAGUCCAGCGCUGUAAAACGAUGUCGAUUUUGGAGGUUGUGCCCUUGAGGCGUGGCUUCCGGAGCUAACGCGUUAAAUCGACCGCCUGGGGAGUACGGCCGCAAGGUUAAAACUCAAAUGAAUUGACGGGGUC